Peromyscus maniculatus bairdii (prairie deer mouse) is the source of this 2372-nucleotide non-coding RNA. The record is from RefSeq and is a predicted model, not a curated record. Lineage: Eukaryota; Metazoa; Chordata; Mammalia; Rodentia; Cricetidae.
GUUAAAUUGGCAUUUCACACGGUGGUGCUGCACACCUUUAAUCCCAGCACUCAGGAGGCAGACCCAGGAGGAUCUCUGUGAGUUCGAGGCCAGCCUGAUCUACAGAGUGAUAUCCAAGACAAGCACCAAAACUACACAGAGAAACCCUGCCUCGAAAAACCAAGAAAAGAAAAGAAAAAUGAAAAAAGAAAAUCAGCAUUUCACUCAGAUAUAUUUAAUGAUACUCCUAGAUCUGAGAUAGAAAUCUAUAAUGCUAGAAGCAUCAGCUCAUCUCUUAAAAGAAAGUUCCUGAAAUAUUGUUUAAGGAGAACUUUAAACUGUCCGCCCCCCCCCCCCGCGCCCCCCAAAAAAGUUCCAACAUGUACAGCCUUCCCAAAGCCCCAAGAAAACCCCUCCAAGGACAACAAACUGAGGGAUCCUCUUAGAAAAAGGAUUCCUAGGCAACAAAAUAAAAAAUAAAAAAAGCAACAUGGGGCUGGAGAGAUGACUCAGCCGUUGGUUGAGUUCCCAGCACCCACACGAUGGCUCACAACCAUCCCUAACUCCAGUUCCAGAAGAUCUGAUGUCCUCUUCCAGACACAUAAAACAAAAACAAAUCCUUACAAAUAGACUUUUAAAAACAAGACAGUGUGUCAGGUAGACAGAGCUGUGUCAAGGAAGUCUGUCAAGCCCAGUUCAUUUGUUCACCUUGGUGGUCUGACAGGGUUCAAGUUCCACGGGCGACAGAAACAGAUACAAGAGGAGGAAAAGGCCCAGCCGCUGCCCACGCCAAACUUCUCUCCCAUGUGCAGUGUCUGAGUUUCCCCUCGUUUGACCGGGAGACUAAAGUCCUCACUAAGAUAAAGUCUCAGCAAGGGCCCAACACAUACACUAGUUAAACAGAUGGACAUGCUCACAAGCUAGAGAAGCCCCUGGCCCUGCAGAAGACAGCUGUUAGCAAAGCACAUGGUACAUGCUUCUGCAGACCAGGCUGCUGCAGAGCCUAAUCUGGAUGUCUCCUGCUCACAGAAGGACACAAGACCCCGAAGCCCCGGUGUGUGCUCUCCGGCCUCCAAUCCACACCUAUAACAAUAUUGUUGCAGUAACUGAAGCUUUCUUUGCAAAAUCUUCUCCUCUUGUUCUGCCUGCCCAUCCAGGAGAACAGCCUCUGUCAGUCAAAGAGUCUGAACACUUUGUAGAAUUCUUUGAGCCCUAACCAAAAGAGCAAUGCCCCUAACAUGAUUUCCUGUCUGUGUAGAAGAAACACAUUCUAACACAGAGUAGCUCUGUAGAGUUGUUAGGUCUCAAGGACUCUGAAACGGGGUUGAAAGCAGCUGUUUUGAAGACCUGCUUCUGCCAUUGUUGUGUUCGGGCUUUUGUUUGUUAGCUUAGAAGAAACCCAUAAGCGUCCUAAUUGAACCCACUAUGCUGUUAAGAGGUUAUCUGUAGAGGUGAUGGCAUUUGGAAACUAUCGUGAAACCUCCUCCUCACUGUGCUCAACUCACCCAGAGGGACUGUCACUAAGGGCACCUGUCAGCGUCCUUAGUACCAGACACCAUACUGAGGUUUCUCUUCCCCAGCCCUGGUACACGGUUUUGAGAUGUAUCAAUGGUGGUUAUGAAGGUGAGGAAACAAGCUAUUAUUAUUGAGAUACUCGAAAGAUGAGCCACCCUCCCUUUGGUAUCAUUGGGAUGUUCUACAUGAAGCCACACAGAAAAUAAACCCAAAUCUCAGAGUCCUCAAGAUUCAGGCUGCCCGUCUGAAGUAAGACGGGAUCUACGUGAGCUAAGACAGGACAGAGAAACGUCAACAUGCUCCAUUAAAGAACUAACAGACAGAGUCGGGAGUGUUCACAGGACCAUCCACCCAGCAGCAGGCAGGGAUGAGCAGGGAUGCUCUGCAUCCAUUUCUGUUAUUACAACAAGCAGCAACUUAGGGGAAAGGGGAAUUAUUUUAGCUCAAAAUCCCAGGACACAAUGCAUCCCUGCAGGGCAGCCAGAGCAGAGGAGCUCAGGACAGCUGGUCACAUCACAGCCACAGUCCAGGGUGGAGUCAGAAGGGAAUGCACAGGGGAGGUUUCAAUGACAAUGGCCCCGUAGGCCCAUAUGCUUGAAUACUUGGUUCCCAGUUGGUAGAAUUGUUUCCAGUUGUUUGGGAAGGACAAGGAGGUGUGACAUUGUUGGAGGAGGUGUGUUAUUAGAGGUGGGCUUUGGAGUUGCCAAAAUCCCACACCAUUCUCUGUUAGCUCUCUCUGCCUGGUGCUAGUGGAUCAAGAUGCGAGCUCCCAGUACUGCUCCAGCACCAGGCCUGCCUGCUUCAUGCUCCCCACCAAGAUGGUCAUGGACUUUAAGGCUCCUAAACUGUGAGCACCAAAUAAGCUCUUUCUUCUGUAA